UACGUAGGGGGCUAGCGUUGUCCGGAUUUAUUGGGCGUAAAGAGCGUGUAGGCGGCCUGGUAGGUCUGCUGUGAAAACUCGAGGCUCAACCUCGAGAUGUCGGCGGAAACCAUCUGGCUAGAGUCCGGAAGAGGAGAGUGGAAUUCCUGGUGUAGCGGUGAAAUGCGCAGAUAUCAGGAAGAACACCUAUGGCGAAGGCAGCUCGCUGGGACGGUACUGACGCUGAGGCGCGAAAGCGUGGGGAGCGAACAGG
RNAcentral lists this ribosomal RNA (253 nucleotides) under uncultured bacterium. RNAcentral describes it as "partial 16S ribosomal RNA". It matches the Rfam family "Bacterial small subunit ribosomal RNA", at positions 524 to 776 of the family's 1533-position model. The record is from RNAcentral.